RNAcentral lists this small RNA (29 nucleotides) under Bombyx mori (domestic silkworm). Its description in RNAcentral is "ovarian small RNA-25119". Lineage: Eukaryota; Metazoa; Arthropoda; Insecta; Lepidoptera; Bombycidae. The record is from RNAcentral.
UCACCAUCAUGGGCCUAUAGCAGUCCACU